UAGGGAAUCUUCGGCAAUGGACGGAAGUCUGACCGAGCAACGCUGCGUGAGUGAAGAAGGUUUUCGGAUCGUAAAGCUCUGUUGUUAGAGAAGAACGUUGGUAGGAGUGGAAAAUCUACCAAGUGACGGUAACUAACCAGAAAGGGACGGCUAACUACGUGCCAGCAGCCGCGGUAAUACGUAGGUCCCGAGCGUUGUCCGGAUUUAUUGGGCGUAAAGCGAGCGCAGGCGGUUCUUUAAGUCUGAAGUUAAAGGCAGUGGCUUAACCAUUGUACGCUUUGGAAACUGGAGGACUUGAGUGCAGAAGGGGAGAGUGGAAUUCCAUGUGUAGCGGUGAAAUGCGUAGAUAUAUGGAGGAACACCGGUGGCGAAAGCGGCUCUCUGGUCUGUAACUGACGCUGAGGCUCGAAAGCGUGGGGAGCAAACAGG
This 429-nucleotide ribosomal RNA is filed under the name Bacillota bacterium. RNAcentral describes it as "Firmicutes bacterium partial 16S ribosomal RNA". It matches the Rfam family "Bacterial small subunit ribosomal RNA", at positions 355 to 776 of the family's 1533-position model. Lineage: Bacteria; Bacillati; Bacillota. The record is from RNAcentral.